RNAcentral lists this small nucleolar RNA (113 nucleotides) under Bombyx mori (domestic silkworm). RNAcentral's name for it is "Bm_10". The record is from RNAcentral. Lineage: Eukaryota; Metazoa; Arthropoda; Insecta; Lepidoptera; Bombycidae.
AGAUCUUUCUAAAGGUUUAACGGGAUAUGAUGAUCGGAUUAUUCAUGCGACUGCAUGAUGUUCGUCGCCGAAUGUUACGCAUAAGGCGGGCUAAAAUCCUUCUGAUCCCAAUU